This 492-nucleotide ribosomal RNA is filed under the name uncultured bacterium. RNAcentral describes it as "partial 16S ribosomal RNA". It matches the Rfam family "Bacterial small subunit ribosomal RNA", at positions 29 to 507 of the family's 1533-position model. The record is from RNAcentral.
AGUGAACGCUGGCGGUAGGCCUAACACAUGCAAGUCGAACGGCAGCACCGUAAGAGCUUGCUCUUACGGGUGGCGAGUGGCGGACGGGUGAGGAAUACAUCGGAAUCUACUUUUUCGUGGGGGAUAACGUAGGGAAACUUACUCUAAUACCGCAUACGACCUACGGUUGAAAGCAGGGGAUCUUCGGACCUUGCGCGAUUGAAUGAGCCGAUGUCGGAUUAGCUAGUUGGCGGGGUAAAGGCCCACCAAGGCGACGAUCCGUAGCUGGUCUGAGAGGAUGAUAAGCCACACUGGAACUGAGACACGGUCCAGACUCCUACGGGAGGCAGCAGUGGGGAAUAUUGGACAAUGGGCGCAAGCCUGAUCCAGCCAUACCGCGUGGGUGAAGAAGGCCUUCGGGUUGUAAAGCCCUUUUGUUGGGAAAGAAAAGCAGCAGGUUAAUACCCCGCUGUUCUGACGGUACCCAAAGAAUAAGCACCGGCUAACUUCGUG